Molecule: long non-coding RNA, 1984 nt
Organism: Oreochromis aureus
Lineage: Eukaryota; Metazoa; Chordata; Actinopteri; Cichliformes; Cichlidae
Exons: 3
Source: RefSeq, a predicted model, not a curated record
CUCAGAUUCUCUUUUACCCACUUCUGUGAAAGUGCUGUCUGUUUCGAGAAGAAAGAACCAAAAGCAUCGCUGAGGCAUCGAAAGACAGACGACGGAGACAGACCACUAACAGCAUUCACACAUUGUAGAGGGUGACUUCAUACAUAGUCUUGCCAUUUCCUGGUGUAGGCCAAUCAGGGAGAAAAAUACUAACAUCGGCCACUUCAAGGACAAGAACUUGAUUUAUUUAUCUUCUUCUACACAACAGUUGACUUUUUUUUAGCUUAAGGUGGAUUUUUGUGCAGCGCAAACAUAAAAAUGGAAAUGUUUUGGGCCACAUUCGGAUUCACAGCUUCAACUGACCUGGAUGAAAAUGCCAAAGCACGUUUGGAGACAUUUAGGAGGCUUUACGACCAACGUGAAGAUGGCCUUGGGCGAGAUUCUAAGUGCUUUGUACAGGCAGCUGCUGGAGAUGAUGCAAAUCUGGAGGGUUCUCGGAACGAGAUGGUCAAUGCUCCGUUUGUUUGGUUGGGAGGCACUUUUAGUGGAACUUUUGGAGGCAUUAUUGGUGCAACAUGUGCCACUUUUGGAGCGGUUUGUGCAAUGAGUUACUCCAGACUUUGUGGAGAUGUUGAUACAGCUAGUGCAACUGUUGGCUUUGUGAGCAGCAUAUUUGGGGGAGUAGUGGGAGGAGCAUUUGCCGGUGCAGCUGGUGGGUCGGUGAAUGUGGCAGCUUUAGUAAAAGGUAGAGAAGAUUAUGGCUUUUUUGGCGAAGUGUUAUGUUUCACUGUUGGCUGGGCAAUCGGUCACGGAAUCGGCCGCUGUUUUGGUCAGCAAGUAGGUGCAGCAGGUGGUGCUAUAGGUGGAGGAUUUGGGGCUUUGUAUGCAACAAGAGCCACAGUUCGUUUAAGUAGAAGUUUAAUCAAAUAUAAUUAUAAGAAAAAUGCAAAAGCAGAAACGAUGAGGAACACUAGGGGAGAUUUAGACAAAAGCUUCCAACCGCUGGUAAAAGAGUUGAAAACAAUCGAAAAGACUUGGAACAACAUGUUCUCCAGCGAUGCUGUGAAAGACGUCGCUGAUUAAAGUGCAAAGAUUCUGAGUGCUGUGACAGGGAUGGAGAAGUGUGUGACGAACAGUGGGCGGCAAACGGGUCAGAGUUCCUCUCCUGUAUUAAUGAAGCACCAAUCCCAGAAGAGCUGCAGAGGAUGAGCGAGGAAGAGGAGAAACUCUGUGGCUGUCGGUGAAACAGCAGCUCUGAACAUUUAUUGUUUAUAAUUAGCUGAUCGUUGGUUUUUUUGAGUUCCUAAAUUCUCUUUUCGAUUCAUUAAUUUUCUCCAAAAUGCUACAAUAUCAAAACUCAACCCUUUUCUUGUUAAACAUGUCAGUGGGAUUUUGGGAUGCUUUAACAACUGCUGUCAGAUUUUUGUGUAAUGUUGUUUAACUGCUGUUGUUCUUUCUACUUUGUGCUCUUUAUGAUGCUUUUUACCCCCACAGAGACGGGAUAUCCCUGCCCUCUCACAUACUGUUCAAAGAUGAAGCUAUAAAUUAAAUCUAUAAUGAUAUUUUUACACUUUUCUGGUUAACUUUUGCUCAUUAUGCCGUUGCUUCUUUUUACUCUGGUGUUCAGAGGCUUGUCUGAUGUCUCCUUAUUUGCCUUGUUGUGACCAUGUGGAAGUGACACAGUUUCACAGCAACAGGCCCGCCCUCCUACUGCACCUCGACUUCCUGAUUCCUCCUCUGAACACUCCCCAACUUCAAACGUUGCUUUCACUAUUUCUGUGCAAGUGCAGUCCAUUUUGUGAAGAAAGCACCAAAUGUAAUGGAAAUUCUUCUCUGUCAAGCUGACCUUACUUAAUGAAAGGCUACACAUUUUGUUAAUAGGCCUCCAAAGAUAUACCACAUGUUGAUGUACAGCAGAUUUCACACACUGCUCUGAAUUUGUUUGGUUAACAUAUCAGAUAAGUAACUCGUCUCUGUUGUUUUAAUAGUUUGUAAAGGGAUAAAA